RNAcentral lists this long non-coding RNA (421 nucleotides) under Canis lupus dingo (dingo). Its description in RNAcentral is "lncRNA (ENSCAFG00020006854.1)". Lineage: Eukaryota; Metazoa; Chordata; Mammalia; Carnivora; Canidae. The record is from RNAcentral.
UCUUGGAGGAGAGCAGUUUUGCAACUUUGUUCCCAAAAUCUAGAGAGGCUUACUUGAAAGAGUGCUGGCCUUUGGUACAGAAGAGCCUUGAAUGAACAUCACAUUAAUGCAAUCCUGGACCUGAUCAAGGGCAAUAUGACUGUACGACAAAGAAGACUUUUGAUCCAUAUAUCAUCAUUAGGGCCAGAGACCUAAUUAAAACUUUUAGCAAGAAGUGUAUCAUUUGAACAGGUAAAUUUAGAAUUACAAAAACUUUGCUUUAUUUGCAUCAACAUUAGAGAUAACAUAUAACACUGCAUCCCUCCAUCUUAGAGUUUUCAUUUUUCUGCUUAGAUUUCAUUAGCCUAGGCCUUGAAAACAAAUGUGUUUGUAAAGAAUAUUUUCUUCAUGUUUCCAAAGGCAGUACGAAUUCUUUUUUUUU